AAUAUAUGCUAGGGGUGCCUUUAGGCUGAGAGCUAAAUAAUAAUAUUAAAUUAUUAUUUAUAACCCUUGUACCUGAACUGGGUAAUGCCAGCGUAGGAAAGCUUCUAUUGGUUAUU
RNAcentral lists this non-coding RNA (116 nucleotides) under Clostridium tetanomorphum. RNAcentral describes it as "TPP sequence". It matches the Rfam family "TPP riboswitch aptamer (THI element)". From Rfam's summary of the family: Vitamin B(1) in its active form thiamin pyrophosphate (TPP) is an essential coenzyme that is synthesised by coupling of pyrimidine and thiazole moieties in bacteria. The previously detected thiamin-regulatory element, thi box was extended, resulting in a new, highly conserved RNA secondary structure, the THI element, which is widely distributed in eubacteria and also occurs in some archaea. Lineage: Bacteria; Bacillati; Bacillota; Clostridia; Eubacteriales; Clostridiaceae. The record is from Rfam by way of RNAcentral.